GGGGAUUUAGCUCAGCGGUAGAGCGCUUGCCUAGCAAGCACAAGGCCCUGGGUUCCGUCCCAGCUCCA
Molecule: transfer RNA, 68 nt
Filed under: Rattus norvegicus (Norway rat)
Lineage: Eukaryota; Metazoa; Chordata; Mammalia; Rodentia; Muridae
Rfam family: tRNA
About the family: Transfer RNA (tRNA) molecules are approximately 80 nucleotides in length.
Source: Rfam by way of RNAcentral